UUGUUGCAGUUAAAGCUCGUACUUGGAUUUCUGGAUUGAGCGGCUGGCCUUGCGCGCAAGCGUUCGUGUCGGCUUCGUUUCGGUCCAUCCUCAGGGGGACUUGCGCUGGCAUUAACGUGUCGGUGUUGGGACGCCUGUCGUUUACUGUGAACAAAUUAGAGUGUUCAAAGCAAGGUGUACUUGAAUACAUUAGCAUGGAAUAAUAAGAUAGGACUUUGGUGGUUCUUUUUGAUAUUUUGUUGGUUUGCACGCCCAAGUAAUGAUUAAUANGGAGCAGUUGGGGGUAUUCGUAUUCAAUUGUCAGAGGUGAAAAUUCUUGGAAUUUAUAAAA
This 331-nucleotide ribosomal RNA is filed under the name Pseudopedinella sp. RCC668. RNAcentral's name for it is "SSU rRNA". It matches the Rfam family "Eukaryotic small subunit ribosomal RNA", at positions 610 to 934 of the family's 1831-position model. Lineage: Eukaryota; Dictyochophyceae; Pedinellales. The record is from RNAcentral.